GUGGUCUUGAGUACCACUUCAGUACUCCCCAUGAAUCUCUGACCGACCUCGUCCCAACAGAUUGGGGUCCUGCACUUCCUCCCAUAGAGCAUCUCAAAGGGAGGUCGAUCUAUGCUAGCAUGUUAGUUGUUGUUAUACGAAAAUUCCGCUAACGGAAGAUAUGUAUCCCAACUGCCUCCAAAAUCCAAUACACACGCACACAGCAUGUCUUCUAGAGUUUGAAUCGUCCUCUCACUCUGUCUGUCAGUCUGAGGGUGGAAAGCGGCACUAAUGUGAAGAAGAGUACCCAUCUCGUCGUGAAACCGCUUCCAAAAUCUGGAAGUGAAACGAACAUCUCGGUCUGAUACAACCGAAACCGGCACUCCAUGUCUUGCCACUACCUCACGUACGUAGAUCUCGGCUAGCUUCUCAGCCGAUAUACUCUCCUAGAUUGGGAUAAAAUGAGCACUAUCGUUCAACCAAUCCAUGAUGACCCAUAUCGAUUCUACUCCACGUGCGGUCUUGGGAAGCUUCGUGAUGAAAUUCAUAGUGAUAUCUUUCCAUUUCCACACGGGAAUGUCCAAUGGUUGCAUCUUGUCGUGAGGUCGCUGGUGUUCGGCCUUGACUUUCCUGCAAGUCAAGCAUCGUAUACAUACCAUGCUAUGUCCCGCUUCAUGCAGGGUUACCAAUAACCAGGGCAAAGAUCCCGAUACAUCUUUGUCGCCCCGGGAUGGAUAGAGAACCUCGACUUGUGGGACUCAUCCAUCAAAACUUGUCGUACACCGCCCCAAUACGGAACUCAGACCCUCCUAUGCAUGCCCACGACUGUCAUAAUUAAAUGAGGCCACAUGGCUUACGAUCUGCUCACACUUUCGGCGCUCUUCCUUCAUACCCAUGACUUGUGCCUCCCGGAUCCGUUCUAGUAACGGAGUAAUCACUUUCAUCCUCAGACAUAUGUCUUGUAUCAGUGUUGUCACUGCCUUGAGGCUAAGAGCAUCAGCCACCAUAUUGGCCUUCCCUGGGUGAUAAAGGAUCUCGCAUUCGUAAUCAUUCACCACAUCUAACCACACUUCGUUCAAACCCAUGGAAAAGCGUGAACUUUUUACUAGUUAACAUAUAUGAAAUGAAUCAAUAAAAAAUAAACAUAGAAGCAACGAACUAACUGAACUAACUAAUCUAUUUGGUAAAUUCAUAAAAUACCCUUAUACAUAACUAACUUGUAAUAGAAUUUGUAAGGAGAAGUAUGAUGUGGCUAACAUCCCCCCUCAAUCUUGUGGAAAUAAACGAACACUAAGCUUGUUGAAAACAUCAUAAUGUUUUGAACCUUGAAGAUUUUUGGUGAAGAUAUAUAUAUGUUAUCAUAUGUGGAAACAUGAGACAAAUCAAUUAGACUUGCUUGAACUUGUUCUCGAACAUAGUGGCAAUCAAGUUCAAUAUGUUUGGUUCGCUGGAGAAANNNNNNNNNNNNNNNNNNNNNNNNNNNNNNNUAUAUAUAUAUAUAUAUAUAUAUAUGGAAGCUUGAUUUUCAUUUAAGAGGGAUCGGUGUAAUAUUUGGUACUUCAAAUUCUUGAAACAAUCAACUUAACCAAGCCAAUUCAGCACAGACGUGACGCAUGGAUCUAUACUCAUCCUCUGUAUAUGAUAAAAAAAAAACAGUUAUUUGUUUGUUAUAUUUCCAUGAAAUUGGUGAGCCUCCAAAAGUGAUGAAGUAUCCACUCACUGAUUUUCGAGUUAUGGCCUAUGGGACAAGAAGCCUAGUCGGAAUCGUAAAAAGCUUCCAUUUUGGAUUGUUUUUUAUCAUUAAAAUAUAAUGUUUGAUUGAUUGUUCCUUUUAGGUACUGAAGUACAUGAAUAACUUCUUAAGAUGAUCUUGUGAAUAUGACUUGUUAAAUUGGGUUAAAUAUUGAAUAGAGAAUGACAAAUAAGGACGAGUAUGUACAAGAAAGUUGAGUUUCCUAAUCAAUUUCCUAUAAAUUGUGGGAUCAGACAAAGAUUAUUGGUUGUAACUUGAUUUGAUAAGGUAAAGGAGAUUUUUUUUUAUCUUGUAUGCCAUAAUUAUGUCUCAAUUCUUAAAGAACUUUCGUUGAUGUACAGCCAUACCACCUUUAAUUUUAUUGAACGCAAUUUCUAACAAAUAAUGGAGAAGACCAAAAUCCUUUAUUUGAAAUUUGUCAUCUAAAAAGGUGUUUAGCUUGAUAAAAAUUUAUGUAUUAUUGCCAGUCACCAAUACAUCAUCAACAUAGAUUGAUACUAUGAAAAUUGUAGAAUAACUCUUUUUAAGGAAAAAAGAAUGAUCAUUAGGUGAAUCUGAAUAACCUUAUUCUCUCAAAACAACAGAAAUUUUGGAGUACCAUUGUCUUGAAGCUUGUUUCAAGCCAUAAAGAAACUCUUUCAAAUUGCAAACCUGAGAUGGAGAAGUCAAAGGAUGACCUUAUACUUCCUCAUGUAAAUCCCCAUGUAAGAAGGCAUUGUUGACAUCAAAUUGAUGCAUGUCCCAAUGUUGUUUGACUACAAGAGCAAUGAGACUUUUAAUUGUCGUGAAUUUAAAAAAUGGGGAAAAGGUCUCAUGAUAAUGUAUUCCUUCCUUUUGAGUAGACCUAGAAAUGGGGCGGGUUUGGAGCGAAUCUACCUUGAUCCAAACCCUUUUAAUAAAUUCCAAAAUCCGAUCCAAAUCCGCUCCAUAACCCGCAGGGUUUUGAAUAAUCAAACGCAUACCCUUGUCCACCGAAUCAGCAGAUAUCCAAACCCGCCCCAUAACCCGUAGGUUUUUUGAAUAAUCAAACACAUUUUACUUAAAUCAUAAAAUCACAUUUGUUAAAUAAAACAAAUGUUGAUUUAGAAAACACAUUAUGUAGUCGAAAACUUUCGAUUGGAAUUAAAAUCAUUAUUGUAGUUACUUCCAAUUGGUUUUUGACCCUCGAUUGCAUUGAUAGAGAAUAACAAUUACAAACUUUCUUCCAGUUGAUAAAUGAAUUUAUUGAUUUAUAAAUGAAAUUGGUGAUUACAUGAUGAAAUAUAAAUGAAAUGACAUCAUGAUUUUUGGGAGAAGAAUGAAAAUCUAAAAGUUGAUUCCCCAAGUCCUAUGUAUAAAUAGUUUAGUCUUUGGCCUUUUCUAUUUGGACUUUAGAUUAGAAUUUAAAGUAAAAUUUAGACAGUUUAAAAUAUAAAUGUAUAAUUUUAAAAUUUAUAUGGGGCGGGUUAUAAAUGGAGCGGAUCGGUGAUGAUCCAUACCCGACCCUUUUAAUAAAAGGGUUAGCGGUACGGGUCGUUAACGGGUAAACGGAUCAAAAACUAUGCUCCAAACCCGUAUAAUUGUUAAGUGUUUGGAUCAGAUCAGGGUCAAAACCCGCUCCAUUUCCAGGCCUACUUUUGAGUGAAUCCCUUUGUCGCUAAUUCGGUCAGCCAUAUGCUUUAAUUUUGACUUUAUAGAACAAGCAAUUGACCUUUUUCCUUUAGGAGGUUUGACAAUGUGCCAUGUCAUAUUAGCAUCAAGUGUAAUGGUUUCAGUUUGCAUAGCCAUUUACCACUCUAUUAUACCUUUUUCUUGAUGAUUAAAUGAAGGAUGAAAAGGAAUAGAUGUCAAGGAAGAAACUUAAGACAUUUGAUUGUCAAUAUAAUGAUGUUGAAAAUUCUCACUGAUACAUAAACUCGUAAUAGUAUGCAUACAAAGAUAUGUAGAUUCUUAUGAUGUAACAUGAGUGCAUAUAUCAUUCAUGUAGGAUGGUGAAAAAUAAAUUAUAUUGCUUCUUUAUAUCUUAGGACAAGGGUAGAAUGGUCAUUUUCUGGAAAAGUUGCAUUUUGAGUAGAAAUGGGUAUGAGUUAUGAAUGCUCAAUAUCAUAUGAGGUAAUAGAGAUAUAGGAUAUGGAUAAUGGAUGUUUAAUAGCAUGCAGAGGAAAUAUAUUACUUGAAAUCUCUUGAAACAUGAAUGUUUUGAUUGAUCAAAUUAAGCACUUUAAAAGCUUUUUGACCAUGGGAAUAUCCAAGAAAGAUACAAGAGUGUGCCCUUGACAUGAAUUUGUCUCUGUUAACAGGUCUGGAAGACACAAAAAAAACGCAUCCAAAUGUUUUCAAAGUUGUGAAAUCAUGAUCUUUGUUAUACAACAACUGACAAGGGGGUUUGUUGUAAAUAACCUUGGAAUGAAGUCUAUUAAUGAUGUAAACAUCCGUUUUAGUACAUUCACCACAAUAUGAACUCCCAACACUAGAUUAAAAGUAUAAUGCCCUAACAACUUCAGGAGUGUAUCUAUGUUUUCUCUCUACUAAACCAUUUUGUUGAGGGGUAUGACGGGAUAAUUUCUGGAGAAUUAUACUAGUUGUUUGAAAGCAAUUUUGCCCAUCUAAACUAUAUCCAAUCUCUUUUCCAGUGUUAGUUUGAAUACAUUUGAUAGUGACUUGUAAUUAGGUUUGAAUGAAGGUCACAAUGGAUUUUAUUAAAGUAAAAGCAUAGCUUUUGUGAUUUAAUAAAUGACUCCAAGUGUGUCGUGUAUAAUCAUCACUAAUGGUUAGAAAGUAUUUAUACCCAUCAUGAGUUUGAUGUUUAUAUGGACCCUAUACAUCAACAUAAAUAAUAUCAAAAAUAGAAUUAAUGUAUGUAACACCAUGAGGAAAAGAUGGUCUAGUUUGUUUGGCUUAAGCACAAGUAAUACAAGCAUCAAUAUCAGAAAGAGUAUAAUUAGGAAGAUACAUAAUAUGUUUCAAUGUAUCUAAAGAAACAUGACCAAAUCAUUAAUUUGUGCCACAUCAUAAUGUUUGAAUGAGAAACAUAUACAUGAUGUAAAAAAGAAAUUAAAGAAACAUAUAAAGUGUAUGACAAAUUGUGUUUGAGAUGAUCAUAAUCAAACACAUAUACAUCAUUUAUUCUCUUCCUAACAACACCAAGUGAAAUUCUAUUCUUCAACAAAGGGUCAUGCAUGAUACAUGUCUCAUCAGUGAAUAAAACAAAGGUGUGAAGUUGUGAUGUAAGUUUGAUUAUGGAGACAAUGUUAAAUCUGAACGAAGGAACAUAUAGCACAUUAUGCAAUAGAAUAGAUUUAUGAAGUUGAACAUCACCAUAAUGUGAAACAGGAAGAUUGGAUUCAUUAGGUAGCCUAAUUCUACGUGGAUGAGAAAACUUAGUCAUAGACACAAAAAUAUUGGAAUUAGAGGACAUAUGAUUUAUAGAAAUAUGUUGUUUAAGAAGAGCAUGUGAUUUAUAGACAUUAGAAGAAAAAUGAGCAUAAGAAAAGAAAUUAGCAUUAUGAAGCAUAAGCCUUAGGUUCAUCCUUUUUUUACUUUGGUGAAUUUAAAUGUGGAAGGAAAGCCAGUCAACCGGUAUCACCGAGAUUUGGAAUUACCAGACUUCAAUGUCCACAGAGUAAUGUUUUCUUGGAUGAAUUAUAUGAUUGAUUGAUAGAUACUUUCAUAGGAAUGACAUCAAGAUAAAUUGCAUGUAGAGGAUUAAUGUCUCUUUGACAUUCUUCUUGAAUGAUCAUUGAGUAAACAGUGGAAACACUUGGUAAUGGUUUCAUCAUUAUGAUUUGUCCUAUAAUUUCUUUAUAAGUGUCAUUUAAACCCAUGAGCAAUUGAAUCAAUUGUUGAUCAUUAAGAAAUUUUCGAAUACAUGUAAUAACAGCACGAGUAGAAUCUUGAAUACUAGGGAUGUCAAAAAGUCCCGUGGGACCCCGAACCCAUGGGGCCCCGAUCCUGAAUGGGGAAUAUUUGUUUAAAAAAUCGGGGACGGGGGUGGGGGCGGGAGCAAUGUUAACCCCCGUUUUAGUUUCGGGGGCGGGGGCGGGGGUGGGUAGUCCCGUCCCGAAACCCCAAUGGGGACCCCGUUAAUAUAUUAUUUAUAUUAGUAUAUAUUAAUUGUAAAAAUAUAAUAAAUAAUAACAAUGAUUUUGAACUUCCAAAAUUCAAUUAAAUAUCAUGUUUUUAAGUUUAUAGUAUAACGUUUUUAAGAUGUUAGAAUAUUUUUAUUUUAAAUAUAUAAACUUAUGCUAUAAAUAACUAUUUUUAUCCAAAAUGGUUUCUUUUAGCCUAAACANNNNNNNNNNNNNNNNNNNNNNNNNNNNNNNNNNNNNNNNNNNNNNNNNNNNNNNNNNNNNNNNNNNNNNNNNNNNCGGGGGAUGCAAUCCCCGUCCCAUUUGCCCCUGUUGACAUCCCUAUUGAAUACUCUUAACAAUGCGAAUUUCUUCCUAGAUCUUCAUUAACUUUUUGAAAUGGGUUGAGAAAUCAUUAACUAUUUGUUCAUAACGAUGAUUGAGCUCCUUCUAGAUCUCAAAUGAUGUUUGAAGAAACAUAGCACUUUCAGCAAUGUUUGAAUGUAGUGAGUUUAGUAGUUAACUGAUAACCAUAGAGUUAACUUGAUGCCAAUUUGAAUAUGUGGAAGAGUCAGAAGAAGCUUGUGAAAUUGAGCCAUCGAUGAAAGCAAGUUUGUUCUUUGCAUAUGGAGAAAUUUUCAUAAAUCGUUUCCAAGAUGAAAAUUCAUGUCCAUUGAAAACAUGUGAAAUAAGAACAACUCUUGGAUUGUCAGAAGAUCCAAGAUAAUCAGGGCUUGAUACAUUCAUUGCAACAGAUUGAGAUGAAUUUAUCGAAGAAUAAGGAAUCGACGUGAUGAAAAAAAAACAGAUAAAUUUGAAUGCGAAAGGUGAAAGAGAAUCGAUUAGAAAGUUGAUACCAUGUUAUCUUAAGAGAAUUAGAGACACAAAGAAGAAUAUGAACAGGAAUCAAUCGGUUCUCUUCAACAUAAACAAAAUGAAUCAACAACAUAUAUAAAGUAACACAGAGAAGCAACGAUCAUAUGGAAGAAUCACCUUACCUGAUAAAUCGUUUUGAUCAACAGUUUAAUGACACAGCCAGGGGAUUCCUUGGUCAGUGUUGAUUUAUAAAUGCAAUCCAAACAUUAGAGUAUUUGAUAAAUAUGAUAUCUUGUUUCAUCUACGUAUGUGGGUUAUAAAUCCACCCUAGCAAAGUAAUUCACAAGACCAUCUACAAUAAUCCAGUGUUGUCAUCUUACUCUGGUAGAUGACUCAUACACACCCACUUGGUAUCUGAAAGAGGAGGAAUACUGCACUCUACAUCAAACUCAUGCAUUACCCUAGAAUGAGACUACUCACUCUUAAAUUAAAUUUGAACUAAGUAUCCUUUAUAAGUCUUUGUUUGUAACUAGACAAGAUUACAAUACAUGUAGUUAACUUACAAUACUAAUUUUAUGUUCAUGCAAUACUAUCACAAUACAUGGUAUAUGUUUAGUACAAAAUACAAAUAGUAAUCAUUCAAUAUACAUUUAAUCUUUUAAGUAACAAAUACUUUUAUGAAGAUCGUGUUCAUAAAAGUAACUACCCACUAACUAUACAAUAUAUACAUUUAAUCUUUUAAGUAAUAAAUACUUUUAUUAAGAUCAUGCUCAUGAAAGUAACUACGCACUCUACUGAUUAAAGGUGGAAGAUUUGUGGGUAGGUUAGUUCUUCGUUCAACAUUUUAGCUUCCCCUUUUAAAUGACCUCAAUACAAUAUUACUAAGUUUUAGUUUCAUUUAUAUUUAUAUUAUUCAAGAUUAUAUUAACUAUUUCUCAUAUUCUUCAUUAAUCUUAAUGAAUACCAAGUUCUAUCAAAUAAGGAAUGACCAGGUAAGAUGCUAUUAGACGUAUGAUCUGUUUGGUAUAUAAAUAUAUUGUUUGGAAAAUCCACUUUAAACACCUCACUAAGAUCUUACUUAGAAAUUAUGUUCGUAAGUAGAUCAAUCAGUAUUAUAACCAGUACUAGUGAUAAAUCUUAUUUAUAGGUUCAUAACAACGACAAUAAACACAAUAAAAGUUACACUUAACAAGCAUGGUAAGUGCAACUUAUCUUAUCGGAUUGCCUAGCAAAAACUCAAAGGUCCCGCGAGCUAACUUCGACAUUGAAUUCUUCUCCACACAAACUCUCCAACGCUUCAACGUGUAACAUCCCAAAAAUCAAGGUAAAUUUUUCAUUUUCAAAACCAAGCCAAAAACCAUAAAUUUUUACAAACAUAGUUUCCAAAAGUUAUAAUCAUGAAUCAGAGUAUCCCAAAAUCAAAUAUCAUAAAAUACGAAGGAUAUGCACAAUCAAGCCUUCACCUUGCCCCUAAUCUCAGAAGUACCUGAAACCAUAUCAAUCAAACUGUAAGCCAACUCUUAGUGAGUUUCCCCAAAAUACCACCACACAACAUAUAACAACAUGCAUACUAGAUCCACAGUCAUCGGAGUGGAUUACCCCUGAGCCCACAGCAUGAGUCUAGUUGGCCUAUCAGGCCCACAUCUCAUGUCUGGAUUGAUCUCGAGCCCACAACAUAAGUCUGACUUGCCUUUUUGGCCCAUAACUAUGUUUGGCUUGCUACCAGGUUUGUUGUCCUCCGCACAAAGUAGUAUUGCCUCAACCCACACUCGUUAUGUCGACACAUGCAACAAAUAAACAUAUAACCAGAAAGCAGAUAAGCAUGUAGAUUUAACAUAUCACUAUAGCAUAGAAACAUCCUAUAUACAGGAUACAUAACCUAGUUGGUCGGUAUUGGUGCCUUCGACCCACAAGUACAAUGAGGAAAACUUACCUGAAUCACAAAGCCGACUAAAACCCAACUCAAUGUUGUGCCGACCGCUGCUAAUAGAUCUCACCGCCAAGGAUGGGUAUUAAAUACCUCAUAUCAAUCCAUACAAGGCAAACCCUAUGUUUAUCUCCUAAAAUAGAAAUUUGACCAAAAUUCAACUCAUGUCAAAAGUCAACAGUCAAAGUUAACGGCCAAUGUUGACUUUAGCCAACUACCAUGCCGUGCCCUUCCUUGGCCACGUCGUGGCCCUCAUACAACCAGACAUACGGGAAAUUCCCAAUCGCUAGUUCAUGGCGAUCUAUGGCCACGCCGUGGGCAUUGGGUUUCCAGCAGCUUAAUGGAUUAAGUCGGUUUUCUCGAUUCCAAGAACUCCAAAGCUCAAAUCUGGUCCAUUCAAUGGUCUAAAUGGAUAAAUUUUCCAACUUAUCCAUUAAUACACCCAACAAGAUCAAGAUCUCCAACCCUAAGUCCAAAUAAAGCCAAAUACCACCAUGUCUUAACCAUUAAUACCUUAAUAUGAAAAGUCCUUAAUCCAACCACUUCAUAAGGGUUUUCUAAUACCAGAUCCAUCAUAAAGAUGGAAGCUUUAUAGAAAUUUAUGUCUAAUACAUGUCUAGAAUCCAUUUUAGGUCAAAAUGAGCUCUAAAGACCAAAACUCAAGCAAAUGACGAUAACUUCCACCAAAGACUAAAACUAAAACAUAUAAUGCUCUUGAGACUCAGGAGAGUCAUAAAGUUGCCAACUUUAUGAGUUCAUUCCUUCCAAACUUGCUCUAAUAUGAAGGACCUUGGACAAUAUUCAACAUCUAACCACUUAAAUCCAUAAAGCAAGGAACCUAGACACUUAUAAAGGACCAAAGAUGCCCAAAAUAGAUCUUCACUUCAGCCAAAAAGCACCACAAUCCUUUCCAAUGCCUUUUCUUUCUUCAUAAGCACCCAAGGUCACCAAAAUGGACUCACAACUGUCAAGGAGGAAUUUGGGUUAAGGUUUCUAAAACUUGAGGGGGAUAUGAUUUAGAGGGGUUUAAAUAUGAAGAAAACCCUAAAAGAAUCAUGGGCUUGGGCCAGGUGAGCUGUCACGGUGUGGCAACCUUUGGCUACGCCAUGACGAUCCAAAAACACACGCGAUCCAUUAAACAACUUCCAUGUCUUGGCCCUCCUUGGCCAUGUCAUGGCACAAGAUUUCUUCCAAAGCUUCAUCUUUGGUCCCUAAUAAAAGUAAGCUUAACCAAUCUGGAACACGGGUGUUACACAACGCUUCAUUAAAAGAUUCGAAAAGAACGAAGAAAUAAAAUCACAAGGACUGAAAUCCCGAGGGUUGAAAGAGAAAGAAUUAACAAGGAAUAAAUGAGGAGGUGAGUUGUUAUUUAUAGCAACUUUUUUCAAAAGUGUGAUGUGCCUAUGUACGCCGUGCCUUACAUGACGCUUACUGGUGAAGCCACGUCACUCGAUGGUUGUUGGGGUCAUUUUCUCUCCUACUACCAUGUGGUGGCUCGCAGCCUAGAGCUGCCAGCUUCCAGGUAAAUUCUCAUUUUCUUUGGAUAAUUGUAACUUUCACAUACGACCUUCAUUUUCGACGAUUUUAUAUCCUCGGAUUCGUAAUUUCGCAUUCCACAACUUUCAUCAAGACUACUUUGGCUAAAAAGUAAUCUAUUUUCACUUUGAUGUUUAUAAAGAGUAUACAUUGAAAUUAUCUUAUAAAAUUCAUAACUUCUUCAUACGACGUCAUAUUUUGGCGAUCUUUAUACUCUCAGGUUCGUAUUCAUGACUACCACAACUUUAGUAUAAUUAUUUAUUGUUUUAUAUAAGUAACUUAAAUAUUAUUUAUAUACAAAUAACAUUUAGAUAAAACCUCAUAAAUGGUCCCUUUGCUUUUUAGAAAUGUGAGAUAUAGUCCCUAAGUUAGAGGGAAAAAAACCCUCAUACAUAGUCCUUAUGGUUCCAAAACUUUUAACAAACAACCCUUUACAGCUAAUUUCGUUGUAGAUUUAGUCACUUUCAAAAUUAAAAUGAGCUUUUUACCUUUAACAUAUUUAUUUUUCAUUUUUCAUUAUUUCAUUUUAAUAUGUUAUUAUUAUUAAAUACAUAAAUGGCCCACGUCUCUCUCUCUCUUUCUCUCUGUGUGUGUGUGUCUCUCUCUCUCUAUCUCUAUCUCUCUCUGUGUGUAUGUGUAUCUCUCUCUCUCUCUCUCUCUCUCUCUCUCUCUCUCUCUCUUUCUUAUGGUUUCUAUUUUUUUUAAUAACCUUAAUUAAAAUACAUAUAAAAAAAAUAAAAAGGGUAUAUAAGUCUUUUUAUAUGGGUGGGAGACUAUUUUUUAAAAGUUUUGGAACAAAAUGAACCAUCUAUAAGGUUUUUGAACUUGUGGACUAUAUCUCAGAUUUCUAGAAACCAUAGGGACUAUUUAUUAAGUUUUGUCUAACAUUUAUAUAAACACAUAUACAAAGAAUUCUUAUUUAUUUCUUUAUAAAAAAAUUUACAUUAGUUAUAUUAUUAACUAACCUAAAUAAGGUUUUUUCCAUGUAAUGUUUAACAAAAAACAGGGGCAUUAUACAUAUGGAAAUUUNNNNNNNNNNAUAUAUAUAUAUAUAUAUAUAUAUGGUAGAAUAGUAUAGAAUAGUCACAAAUAUAUGUAACUUGUAGUAAGAUCUAAAAACUUCUUGAGGAGGUGCAAACACCUAUAAAUGGGGUUGAGUUUAUUUUAUCCAAACAUCCAAUAAACAAUUCAACAAAUAAAAAUGUAAUAUUCUCUAAAAAUGUAAGUCUUUCUCAAAUGAUCUUAGUAAAAAAUGUUUUCAUUUCACACAUAAAGAGUUGUGCUCAACAGAUCUUAGGAUCAAAAUUCAAAAGGGUGGUUUAGAAUUUAGGGUGUCUAACGGAACAAAUUAUGACACCAGUUUCGAUUGGUGUUUCAAUACUUCUACAAAAAGCCUGAAGGAGGAGAUUGAAGAUGCGUUCGUUAAUAGUUUUAAUAGAAUGUUGAAUAGGAUGUUGCGAUAAACAUUUUCGCAACGAUUUGUAAGGGUUUUAAAGAGACACGGUAUGUCGCUGAUUCUUAAAUAAAUUGACAAAGGCACAUGAGGAAGACAUUUAAAGAAAGAUAAUUUCUUGGUGUUUAUGGUGAAUCGUCAAUUUCAUGUGCAUUUGUCAAUUCCAUUAAAAGUCUUGCAAAACUUUGCGGAGAUGGUUAUUCGACGUUCUUUGCAGACUUCCUAUGAAGUCAUUGAUCUUCGUUAUGACUGAAUACCCAUAGUUGUCUAAAAAUAUCAAAGCAUCCGUCUUGAAUCUCCCACUUAAGGAUUUUUGUAGAAGUAUCGGAACACAUAUCGGAACUAGUUUUGGACUUUUUUUCGUUAGAUACCCUAAAUUCUAAACCACCAUUUUCAAGUUUAAAUUUCGGUCUCAAGAUCUGUCGAGCACAACUCUUUAUGCGUGAAAUGACAAUGCUUUUUAUUAGGAACAAUGAUUUUUAUUAAGACCGUUUGAGAACAACUUACAGUUUGAGAAACUACUACACUAAUUCUUACUUGUUAUAUCUCUCUUUUAAAUACAUAAUUCAUCCGUAUGAAGUCGGAAUUGCUUUAUUUUUUUCCAACAUAUAAUUUGAUGUUUGUAGUUUAUUUUAGACUGUGAAAAUACACAUUUCCGUUGCAAAUCACAAAAUCGGUUCCAUUAUGAAAAAAUAAUUGAAAAAUCAGGACCUACACCGGCACCGGCAAUCCGGUUCUCGGUAUACAAAUUCAAUUCCAGUUUGGUUUCGGUCCGAUUCAAAAGUUCAUCCUUAAUGAUAACCUCCUACAAGUUUAACAAACUUAAUUUUCAUCUGCAUAUGAACAAGCCAAAAAAAUUAAGUUUAUCACUGGUAAUGUACACAACCAUAAUUUGUUCUUUUAAAAACAAGAAAAAAAUGUAAGGAAUCAAACACUAGAGAAACAUACCUCGACAUUGCGGCCAUUGUGCCACAACUCAGCUUGUUGCAUCAAAUCAUUAUCAUACCUAUACACAUCUCUCUGGAGCAUGUUUUAUGCUUCAAAAGAGUUUGAGUAUAGUGGUAAGCAAUAGCAACUCCCGAUGAUAUGUUCCAUCAUACAUUUUUAUGAUUUUUAUCACGAAACAAGGUUACAAUAUUAAUAACCUAAUGCUUCAAGCAUUAUUAGCAUCAAUGUUCAAAUUUUUGCUAUGCUUUGCUACAUUUAUUCAAUCUGAACACCUGUAGUUUGAUGUAUAAGCUAGUAAGCAUUUUUGUUCAAUCUCACAUUCCUAUACGUCUACUAUAUUUUCUGGUUUUACUAAAGAAAACAGAACCCCUAUCUGCCCUAUAAUCUCAUAAUAACAGUGGUGAAUAUUCUAUCAAACUUUACUUGUGUGAAACAGCAAAGCUGUGCAAGCUAACUUAAGCAAAAAAAUAAAAACGAAAUUCAAAACGUUUUUAAUGAUCUGCAAUAUAAAAAUUUAUACGUAGAGAAAUUUAUUUUUCUCUAGCGAUUAAUUGUCUCAACUAAGCGAAACCAACCUCUUAUUCAAAUAAAGAAAAUUAAACUCUUAAUUGUGCAGGGGCCGCGCGAACGCAGGCCCCCACUGCCACAAAUUAUGAUGUAGGUUCGACCACUUGGGCCGACCUUAGGGUAGCACCCCUUCAGAGUGCAAUGAAGGUCACUAACCUAGGCCAUGAGCCAUCUUGACCACCCAUUGACCCCAUCCAGGUAAGUAAGUCUUCCAGACUCCUCAUUCCCGUUUUAUUGAGUUUCUCCUCUCUUUCUCUUUAUUCCACCUGCCGAUGUGGGAUAGUUUAAUAUGCAUGUAUCGUUGGAAGUUUUUUUUUUUUUUUUUUUUUAAUAUUUUUCACACCUUUGCUUUUACAAUUAUAGAAACGAAAUGGAUUGAUAAAGUUUUUAAACAUUUGAUAUUUUGGUUGGCUAGAAACUAGAAAGUACUUCACGACUAUAAGACAAGACAUACUUGGUUCAUUGAACUAAAACUUUAUUUAUUUCUUCUUUUGUCUAGAUACUGUAAUCAUCUAGUGAUAAACUUACACAUACUUUGGUUCAAACUUAUCAUCAGAAUUAUAGUAAAAAAACAUUGAACUAGUACUAGUUAUAAAAAAUUAGGGCAUCCUGAUCAUAUCCUAUAUAGAAAUGGAUUGGGACAUUGAAUUGUUUUAGCCUUUUAGGUGUUUUACACUUUGUUUUUAUUUUAAAAAAAAAAAGUUAUUUUUAACUUGACAAUAAAGAUCAAUCAAAAUAUCUACACAUUAGCAUUAUGUUUAUUUAAUUUUUUCUCUUAACAAUUAUAACUUUGGCAGCCUAAAAAUAAAUUAAUAUAUAUAAUAAAAAUUAUGUUCUCUUUUGUCACGAAAGAACACUUUUUGUUCUGUUUUAUCAUUUGCAUUUUAAUGGAGUAAAUCGUACAAAUGGUUCUUGUCAUUUUCAUUUUUUGGUUUACGUCCCUAAAUGAAUCUUUUCCCACAAAAGGUCCUUAUGAGAGGGUUUUGGUUUAGAUUUGGUCCUGAAAGAUAGACAUCGUUUAAGGGAUUUGUCAAGACAUGUGAUUUGUACGUGGGUGUAAUAAUGUCUUUUUCAUUCCUUAUAUUCCGUCGAUUAGAUAGAUAUCACCAUUAUAUCAUUGUUUGUCAGCACAAUGACCAAAUACACAUUCUAAUUACACUUACCCUCGCAUCAUAUUCUAAAUUUCACAUGAAAAAAAAAAAAAAAAAAAAAAAACUACUUUGCAAAAGCUUUCUUCCAGUGGCAUCAAAUCUUUGGAAUAUUCAAAGGAGUAACCAUUUUUUGUAACAUGUUUUCUUCUUAACAAUUUGCAUGUACACUUAUCGUAGAUGAUAUGGAAAAUGACAAUUUAGCAUAGACCUGGCAAUUCGUGUAUUCGUGUCAUUAAAACGUGUCAACCACGAAUUUGACACGAUACGAUUACACAAUGAGAAAUAAACUUUAUCUCAAUUUUUAAGAUGUAUUCGUGUCGUGUCGUGUCGUGUCUUUUACAGAUCCGUGUCUUCGUGUCUGAAAUUGUCAAGUCUACUUUAGCACAACCGACUAACCAACUGUUCUAUUUGGUCUUAUUUGAUCACUAUUUUUUUUUUUUUUUGCACAUAAGUUAUUAAACUUACAACUUACUUUGUUUAUUAAGUUACACAAAUUGUCCAUAUAGUUUUAGUUUUUUUCAUGGUUGGUCCCUUAUAAACAUCAUUCCCACCGAUACCACCACCGUUCACUUCUAAUAGUAACUAGUGUUCACUUUUAGCAACCCCGUGGUUUUUUAGGCUAUCUUCAUUCUGUAAUUCUGAUUUAUGAACAUCGUUGCAACCUCUAGAAACGAAAUGAAUUAUAAUUGGCUUAUUUGGAUUUCAAUUAAAACUAACGAAAAAAGUUCUCUCUAAAACGAUGAUAUAUAUUUCUAAUGUACCUAUGAUGGCUAUAUAAACAUUUGGUCAUUUUUUCUUGAUUAAUUUCAUGGUUGUUUUGAGACUCAUAUUUAUAUGAUAAGCGUUUUUCAUAGUUGUUUUUCCAUUGUUCCAAAACAAAUUUUUGCGGUUGGUCCAGAAAAUAUGAAAUAAAACUUUCUUGAGAUGAAAAUUUGUUAUAUCCGAUAAACAUGCAACUAACAAACGGUAGCCAAUUAUAUCGAUUCAUGUGUUGAUGCACUUCUCGUAAAUCCCAUCAUAUGUGAAAGAUGAAUAACCGAUUUAAUUCGCGUUUAGCAAUGUGAAUUUUUUUUAAUGAAUUUGAAAUUAUGAUCGCUUUCAUUACAUAAAAAAUGUGUAAUACCAAGUAUUACCCAAAUAUAUUCAUAAUAUUGUUGUAGUAUAAAGGUGUUGCUGAUGAGACACAUCUUAGACACCUUGUUAUUAUUUUUAUAAAAAAUCAACCUAUAAUCAACUUUUUCGGAAAAAAAUGAAAUUUCAACCAAUAAAAAAAUCUUAAAAUCAAAUAGAGUGUCUAAAUGGAAAAAUAGAAUGUCUUUUUAGCCAAACUCAUAACAAAAUUACCCACGACUAACAGUCCAACUCCCUGUCGGAUUUUUCAUCUUCCUCACUAUAAUCGAUACCUUUUAAAGCUUGUCUGUCUUUCGUAUUCUCUUCAUCUUUUCCUUACUAUCCUGCCGGUAAACAUAACUAAAGAUCAAAAAAACGUGGGGUUGUCAAAAGUGAACAGCGACGGUGGCGAUGAUGAACAAUAUUGGUUACGGACCCACCACAAAAGAAAUUAAAACCGGACCAUUUGUGUAAUUUAUAUUAACUAGUUAACUUUGUUAAAAACCAAAUGAUUUAAUAAGGAGAUAAGUUGUAAGUUUGACAUGGGUUACUUAAAUAGACAAAAUUGACAAAUUUAAUGGUCUAACAUGUAAAUAUCAAUUACAGCAUUUCUAUAUUUCGUUGGGCUUUAGGUUUAUCUUAAUUUAGCACAACAGAUCUGAUGUGAAGAAAACUUAAGUGAAUAAAAUUAGGCAGGGGCCGCGCGAACGCAGGCCCCCACUGGCACAAAUUAUGAUGUAGGCUCGACCUCUUGGGCCGACCUUAGAUUAGCACCCUUCCAAAGUGCAAUGGAAGUCACUAGCCUAGGCCAUGGGCCAUCUUGACCACCCAUUGACCCCAUCCAGGU
RNAcentral lists this long non-coding RNA (16133 nucleotides) under Lactuca sativa (garden lettuce). RNAcentral describes it as "long non-coding RNA (LSAT_LNC001996)". The record is from RNAcentral. Lineage: Eukaryota; Viridiplantae; Streptophyta; Magnoliopsida; Asterales; Asteraceae.